Long non-coding RNA from Gadus morhua (Atlantic cod), 2417 nucleotides. RefSeq lists it as uncharacterized. The transcript has 3 exons. The record is from RefSeq and is a predicted model, not a curated record. NCBI's taxonomy places the organism in Eukaryota, Metazoa, Chordata, Actinopteri, Gadiformes, Gadidae.
GUAUUAUCUAUUUAUUUUUCCUUUCCACACUAGUCGGACUGGCCAGAGGGCUUCAACCUGGCUACUUCAUUGAACUUUUGCUUACCAAAGUGCGUCUCCACUAGCCUUAGAUGUCUGGUGCCCAAUGCCUGCCAUGAAGGCAUCACUCUCAUGAAGAACAUGCUGCAAUGGGACCCUUGCAAAAGGCCAUCUGCUAGCCAGGUAACAUUGGAAAACAACUUAUUGGGUCGGGAUCACAUAGAAUUAAAAAGGAUUAUGCUGGCGUGACUUAUUACUUGCAAACGACAUCUCCAUAGAUAAACCAUGAAUGUUUUGCUCCAUAAUAUUGUCUGUAUAGUCAAUCAUUUGACAGAUGGUGAAGUCACGAUUGGUUGUUACUUUUAGUAGGAAAAGAUCAUCAAACAAAAAAAAGAACAACAAAACAAAAUGUCUCUGGAUAUACGGUAUUCAUGCUUCAACUUGACAUGGAUACCAUGUCUAAACUCCCCAUGCUCUGCGGCACCCCUACUUCCACGUGGGCCACGGGCUGGGCCCUCCUUCCAGGUACCUGGAGAAGCACCAGGCCCAUGCUAAGGCCCGAAAGCCUCUGUCUCUCUGUGAGGACCAUCUCCAUCUACCAGCACUCUGUGAGAAGCAGACCCACCCGGCCCAGGACUGGUUAACCCUUCUGACCGGCAAGGACCACGGCUGUCCCAUGGCUGCACACUCCUCACUCCUCACACCUCCUUUAGCUUCAACCGCUAAGCCUGGGAACAACCAGCCAAUCAGUGAGCUCAUUUGGUCCUAGUUGCCAUCGUCAAUGAUUUUGGGAUGUACCUUUGUCUUCCAAUGCAAGUAUUCUUCUGUUUUCUGAAUAUUUUUUAAUGUAUUUUCAGUGGUUAAAUCAUAAAUUAUCAAAUGCAAUAUUAACUAUGAAAUCCCAUACAUUAAAAUAAGGUAAUACUCCCAUUUUUAUAUGGAAUAAAAAUGGGAUUUCUAUGGGACUGCUCAACAGGUAUGGAAGAAGCAGAGGAAUGGACCAAGAAGCGGGUGCAGGCUUCAGGGAGGGACAUCGGUCCAAGCCACUGAAGGCUGCGAUGACACUGAGGAUGCAGCUUCCAACUCUAAACCACCCAGCCUCUAUCGCUGUACACAGAGGCCACUCAGCGACUGCAACUUCCAAUCAGCAGAGACGAAGAAUCAGAGUGAAAACAACUGUGUAACCCAACCACCAAAAAGCAGCAGGCCAAACAGAGCGGACUUGUGUGGCCCCCUCAAAUAUGGCAGAAGCAGAGAGAAAGAGUUUUCCUGGUAAAGGAAAUUGCACUUAAAACUGAAAGCGGAACAUAAACACCAGGGGAAAUAAACACCGGACAGGCUCUGAAAGAAAACACUUCUGGGAAGGAUAUUCCAGCAGGCCCCAGCUUCCUUCGUAGAGGAUGAUUUUAGUUAGUAAGGUAAACCCGUAGGACUAAUAACCAUGUUAACAUCACUGGGAAGAUGACUGGUGAGCAGCACAGAGUUGGAAAAGCAAUCUAAAAUGCAACAGGUGGAAAGCAUUGGUGUGAUGGCAUAUGAAAUGCAGAAUGUUUACUGCAAAGAAACCAUCCUAAAAGCCCACAUCAUUAAAUGUAAUGGGGUGCAGCAAACAUAUGAGGUACAGCCUCGCAGAUUCAGCAGCUUCUUCAACAAAUCCCAGACAGACAGAGAGCGUCUUCUUGGGGUGGUGGCCCUUUUAAUUUGUGUGUGUGUGUGUGUGUGUGUGUGUGUGUGUGUGUGUGUGUGUGUGUGUGUGUGUGUGUGUGUGUGUGUGUGUGUGUGUGUGUGUGUGAGUAAAUCCUUUUACCGGACAUCAAACAAUUGAAGGAAACAUCUGGGACAGAACAUUGGGCAUCGCUGCGUGCCAGGAGUCAGAACACACCUCUUCCAAAGGAGGGCGUUUCUCAAAGGGUCUCAUCUUAGGGUCAAUUGACACCAAACCUCAAAAUCUGUUUCCAAAUGUAUAUGGACUGGAGUCAUGUCAUGGAAUAAACUGUAGUCCUACACAAAAACGUACGUAUUCAUUUAUAAUGACCAAAUUAUACAACUUCACCACAUCCAUGAGUUGGUUCCUAAACAUUGUUAGACGGCCUUAAGCUCCAUAUCUUUCCAUCGGACCAUGACCAUCUCCUGCCUCCUGGUGUUUGUUAUCUGCUCAGACGGCGACGGAUGGAGGAGAACUGUGAACGCAAAACCUCCCGUACCCAACAGCAAGGGAGAAGAGAGGGCUGUCUUUCUGUCCAAGAAGCCAUGCGUCGCAACAGUGUUCGGGCGGGUAGACUGGUCCGCCAAGUACGGUGGCAAUCAUAACCGCUAGCAGGUAGCCUUAGGAUGCUACACUCAGAGGUUGAGAGGUCCUCUUCCAUAUGCACUAUGAUGAAUAAACGCACAGAAAAUUC